UGUGCUAAGGUAGCGAAAUUCCUUGUCGGGUAAGUUCCGACCCGCACGAAAGGCAUAACGACUUGAGAACUGUCUCGGAGGUAGACUCGGCGAAAUUGAGAUGGCUGUGAAGACGCGGCCUAGGUGUGCCAGGACAAAAAGACCCCGUGGAGCUUUACUACAACUUGGCCUUGCGGCUGGUUGCAAGAUGUGUAGCGUAGGUGGGAGGCUUCGGCCAACAAUGAAACACCACCCUUCUUGUAAUUAAUCGCUAACUUUGACCCGUACAAACCGGGCAGAAGACAAGGUCUGGUGGGUAGUUUGACUGGGGCGGUCGGCUGCUAAAGAGUAACGCAGCCGCCCAAAGGUCCGCUUGACCCGGAUGGAAAUCGGGUUGUAAGUGCAAAGGCAAAAGCGGGCUUGACUGCGAGGCCUACAAGCCGAGCAGGUGCGAAAGCAGGGCUUAGUGAUCCUACGAUGCUGUAUGGAAAGCACGUAGCUUAACGGAUAAAAGCUACCCCGGGGAUAACAGGCUAAUAGUGCCCAAGAGUUCACAUCGACGGCACUGUUUGGCACCUCGAUGUCGGCUCGUCCUAUCCUGGGUGGGAAGUACCACCCAAGGGUUGGGCUGUUCGCCCAUUAAAAGGGUACGCGAGCUGGGUUCAGAACGUCGUGAGACAGUAGACCAAUAUUAGUUGACUACUAAUGUUAACGAGCUGUCGUUCCUUCCGAUGUUUUGAAGUUAAGAGGAAAGAAGGACACUCCGAUGUAAGAUCGGAGUGAAAAUCUGGCUAUAUGCUGGAAACUCCGUUCCCUAAAAGGGAUGAAGUAUCUUGAGCUACUAAUCAUCUGGAGUUAUUAUAUCUCUAUAUGGUUAGUGAAAAAGCUGCAAGCGCGGACAAUCAGCAGGCAAACAUAGCAGAUGAGUAUCUAGCAGGAUUCGUUGAUGGUGAAGGCUGUUUUUAUGUGGGAUUCAGUCGUAGAAAAGAUUUGCCCUUAGGUUGGCAGGUAAUUACUGAGUUUCACUUAAGUCAAAAUCCGGGAGGCAAAAAUCUCCUUGAGUUUUUUCAAAAGCGGUUAGGCUGCGGUUAUCUGAAACUUAACCAUCCGAAAAGCUCAAAAGAUAAAUCUUGGGUUUUGAUGAUCAAAGACCGUAGGGACUUAAAAGAAAAAUUAAUACCUUUCUUUGAUAAACAUGGCCUUCAUUCACAGAAACAACACGAUCUUGAGAUCUUUAAGAAAGUUAUCGAGAUAGUGGAAAGUAAAGAUCAUCUUAAAAAGUGUGGUCUUACAAAAAUAGUCAGCUUGGUUUUUGACACGAGCAGAAUUACCAAGAAGCGAUACUCAAAAGAAGCAAUUCUUAGUGCUUUGUAGCCUCAGAGACUAAACGCUAGACUACCCUUCGCUAAAAAGCUAUGGGUAGAAGAUAUAGUCCGAACUCAGCAGCGAUGCUGAGAGUUGGAUAGAAAUAUUCAACCUCUUUACCAAAGUUGGUAAAGAAAGUAACAAACUGUCGGUCUCUAUCCGGCAUACCCGUGUGAACCUUGAGAGGAGCUGCUCCUAGUACGAGAGGACCGGAGCGGACCAGCCUCUGGUGUACCAGUUGUCGCAGCAGCGGCAGCGCUGGGUAGCUAUGCUGGGUCAGGAUAAGCGCUGAAAGCAUCUAAGUGCGAAGCCUACCUCAAGAUUAGGGUUCUUAGAUCCCUGGGAGACCACCAGGUUGAUAGGCGGCAAGUGUAAGACUGGUAACAGUUUCAGCUAAGCCGUACUAAUAGAUCAAAUUAGAUUCUA
Non-coding RNA from Candidatus Woykebacteria bacterium RBG_16_43_9, 1770 nucleotides. NCBI's taxonomy places the organism in Bacteria, Candidatus Woykeibacteriota. The record is from Rfam.